RNAcentral lists this ribosomal RNA (550 nucleotides) under uncultured bacterium. Its description in RNAcentral is "bacterial SSU rRNA". It matches the Rfam family "Archaeal small subunit ribosomal RNA", at positions 725 to 1270 of the family's 1478-position model. The record is from RNAcentral.
AGUGAAUAGAUACCCGGGUAGUCCUAGCCGUAAACGAUACUCGCUAGGUGUCGGCCACGGUGCGACCGUUGUCGGUGCCGUAGGGAAAGCCGUGAAGCGAGCCACCUGGGAAGUACGGCCGCAAGGCUGAAACUUAAAGGAAUUGGCGGGGGAGCACCACAACGGUGGAGCUUGCGGUUUAAUUGGAUUCAACGCCGGAAAUCUUACCGGGACCGACAGCAAUAUGAAGGCCAGGCUGAAGACUUUGUCCGGAUUAGCUGAGAGGUGGUGCAUGGCCGUCGUCAGUUCGUACUGUGAAAGCAUCCUGUUAAGUCAGGCAACGAGCGAGACCCACGCCCACAGUUGCCAGCGUACUCUCCGGAGUGACGGGUACACUGUGGGGACCGCCGCUGCUAAAGCGGAGGAAGGAAUGGGCAACGGUAGGUCAGUAUGCCCCGAAUAUCCCGGGCUACACGCGGGCUACAAUGGUUGGUACAAUGGGUAUCUACCCCGAAAGGGGAUGGAAAUCUCCUAAAGCCAAUCUUAGUUCGGAUUGAGGGGCUGCAACUCG